CCCGCUCAGAAACUUAAAUGAAUUGACGGGGCCGCACAAGCGGUGAGCAUGUGGUUUAAUCGAUGAUACGCGAGGAACCUUACCUGGGCUCAAAUGUAUGUUGACGUAUUCUGAAAGGGAUACUUCUUCGGACAAUAUACAAGGUGCUGCAUGGUUGUCGUCAGCUCGUGCCGUGAGGUGUCGGGUUAAGUCCCAUAACGAGCGCAACCCCUAUCAUUAGUUGCCAUCAGGUCAAGCUGGGGACUCUAAUGAAACUGCCUACGCAAGUAGUGAGGAAGGUGGGGAUGACGUCAAAUCAGCACGGCCCUUACGUCCAGGGCUACACACGUGCUACAAUGGCCGGCACAGCGGGAAGCGAGGGGGCGACCUUGAGCGGAUCCCUCAAAGCCGGUCUCAGUUCGGAUUGCAGUCUGCAACUCGACUGCAUGAAGUUGGAAUCGCUAGUAAUCGUGGAUCAGCCAAGCCGCGGUGAAUACGUUCCCGGGCCUU
RNAcentral lists this ribosomal RNA (489 nucleotides) under uncultured Sphingobacteriales bacterium. RNAcentral describes it as "bacterial SSU rRNA". It matches the Rfam family "Bacterial small subunit ribosomal RNA", at positions 888 to 1382 of the family's 1533-position model. Lineage: Bacteria; Pseudomonadati; Bacteroidota; Sphingobacteriia; Sphingobacteriales. The record is from RNAcentral.